Molecule: signal recognition particle RNA, 97 nt
Filed under: Mycoplasma phocoenae
Lineage: Bacteria; Bacillati; Mycoplasmatota; Mollicutes; Mycoplasmatales; Mycoplasmataceae
Description: Mycoplasma sp. Phocoena C-264-GEN Bacterial small signal recognition particle RNA
Rfam family: Bacterial small signal recognition particle RNA
About the family: The signal recognition particle (SRP) is a universally conserved ribonucleoprotein involved in the co-translational targeting of proteins to membranes. Archaeal SRP consists of a 7S RNA and homologues of the eukaryotic SRP19 and SRP54 proteins.
Source: Rfam by way of RNAcentral
UAAAAGAGCCAUGGGAAUGAUAACCUUGUAAUCUGGUCAGGAUGGAAACAUAGCAGCCACGUCGAGAAGUGUCAUGUCUUAUGGUUUUUUUGUACUA